CCUGAGCGAAGAAGGGAAGCGUAUUGCUCUUUCUUGCUUUCGGGCGGGGGUGGCGUCUUUCUGGUACGUUGCCGCACGACUUUCGUCCCGGCGCCCGCACUCCAAAACGUCCACGCCCUCCCCCACCCACCCAAGCCUUCCCUCCUGAUUCUCCUCAUCCCCCUCCAAGGCGGCGGCACAUUACCGCAUACGGGGGUAGCACCAGCUGCAGAAGGAACGCCAUCGCACACAAGCGAGAGAGAGAGAACGGGGGCGUCGAAGUACGUUCCUCCCUCUCUCCCUUCCCCUCCCUCUGCCCCUGGUAUUCCCUCAGUUCUUGUUUUUUCGGUGUGCGAGUGCGGCACUGUCAUGCUGAAGCGGAGCAUCAGUGCGGCGGCGAGGAAGGCGGGUGGUGGCGCGUCGUCCGCAGCACCCGCGGCCGGGCAACAGCCGCCCUCCAAUCCACUUUUGCCAUACGCGCUGCGUCGCGCGGCAGCCUGUGAAAUGCUCUACGGUGGCUCUCGCGUGCAGUAUCUCGUGCAGCCGCCAUUCAAGCUUCACAAGAUUCGCAGCGAGAACCUGCCGCCGCCGUCUCUCUACGCGGAGCGGCACGACCUUGGGCUCGAGAUGCAGCUGCCGCGUGACAUGCACGUCUACAACAGCAUUAACAUGGCCAUCCAACGCCAGGUCGGAGCAGAUUCUAGCACGCUGGACGGGGAGCAGCAGCAACAGCAGCUGCAGGAUGGGCACGCUGACGGCUUCGACAUGGGCGCUUUCUUCACUGAGCAGCACCACCCUGAGCGGCAUCACAACUCCUCCUUGCCGUACGCCAAACACGAUACGAACAACGUGCUCGCGAUGCGGCUCUUUCCUGUCAACAUUGGCGUUCGUGCGCGUACAGAGGCGAUUCGGAUUCGCACCGAAGACUGCUUGCAGCGCCUUCGCGACGCUGAUCUCUGCGCGAAGAUGCGCAUACCGCUCGAGUACCCCCUCCCAUUGAGCCACCGCAGCCAGUACGCGGCUGUUCAUCGCGCGCGACGAGAGCGUUGCUACGAUGCUCCGACGGAGAAGGCGGGAGAAAGCGCGGCGGUAGCGGCUGAAGAGGCGUCGCGAACGGCGCAUCUACGCGGCGCUGCUGCCCAUCCGCCGCCGUCAGAGCUCUCCAUCUUAACUCGGCCAGUCGACCGCCUCGGCAGACACAGCGGCAGCAGCGCCGCUGCUUGCACCGCAGAUGCUGACCACCUAAGCUUCCCCGUGCACCCCUUUGCAGCUGCUGCUGUCUCGUCCGGCUGCCACAGUGCGCGCAGUGGUAGUGCCGCCCGACUCGCCUCGCAGCGUUGGCUGCCGUUGCAGACGCUGAAGCCGAUGGGGCACAACUGGAGCGCCGCAACGCGCAGCAGUGGUGUGCGCGGGCCGCACAUGCAGCUCAUGCAAGAGCGACUUGACCAGAAGGGCUUCGGCUGGAAACGCAAAUCUCGCUCGCUUUGGCAGCAAGACGUGGCAACGGCCGGCUUCCGUCCGCAUCGCUACUUCUAAGCACCGGCAAUCAAUCAUCCCCCCCCCUCCGUGCGCGGUCGGGCGGGUGGUGGCGGCUGGGCGCGGUGACACCGAUCGUACGAAAGCCGCAUGUGAUUUGCGUGCUCGGGUUUGUGCCUCCGGCCAUCUUCACUUUUUUUUUACUUGUUGGUGUCGGUGUUCGCUUCAUGUGGUAAGCCGUGUUGUGAGCAGCCGAUGGGCUGGGGUCUCCGCGUGUCUGAGCCUGACCUCUCGGGCUCCCUCUCCCUUCUGCGUGCGGGGUGGGAAGGUGCUGGAUGGGUACCUACACGCAGCAUGCUCAUGAACGGUG
Molecule: unclassified non-coding RNA, 1825 nt
Filed under: Leishmania donovani
Lineage: Eukaryota; Euglenozoa; Kinetoplastea; Trypanosomatida; Trypanosomatidae
Description: gene:LdHU3.19.1470(CDS-product:hypothetical_prote in_conserved)
Source: RNAcentral